Molecule: ribosomal RNA, 233 nt
Filed under: uncultured bacterium
Lineage: Bacteria
Description: partial 16S ribosomal RNA
Rfam family: Bacterial small subunit ribosomal RNA
Source: RNAcentral
CGGGUGAGUAACGCGUGAGGAACCUGCCUCAAAGAGGGGGACAACAGUUGGAAACGACUGCUAAUACCGCAUAAGCCCACGGCUCGGCAUCGAGCAGAGGGAAAAGGAGCAAUCCGCUUUGAGAUGGCCUCGCGUCUGAUUAGAUAGUUGGCGGGGUAACGGCCCACCAAGUCGACGAUCAGUAGCCGGACUGAGAGGUUGAACGGCCACAUUGGGACUGAGACACGGCCCAG